RNAcentral lists this ribosomal RNA (497 nucleotides) under uncultured bacterium. Its description in RNAcentral is "partial 16S ribosomal RNA". It matches the Rfam family "Bacterial small subunit ribosomal RNA", at positions 28 to 507 of the family's 1533-position model. The record is from RNAcentral.
GAUGAACGCUGGCGGCGUGCCUAAUACACGCAAGUCGAGCGAACGGACGAGAAGCUUGCUUUUCUGAUGUUAGCGGCGGACGGGUGAGAAACACGUGGAUAACCUACCUAUAAGACUGGGAUAACUUCGGGAAACCGGAGCUAAUACCGGAUAAUAUUUUGAACCGCAUGGUUCAAAAGUGAAAGACGGUCUUGCUGUCACUUAUAGAUGGAUCCGCGCUGCAUUAGCUAGUUGGUAAGGUAACGGCUUACCAAGGCAACGAUGCAUAGCCGACCUGAGAGGGUGAUCGGCCACACUGGAACUGAGACACGGUCCAGACUCCUACGGGAGGCAGCAGUAGGGAAUCUUCCGCAAUGGGCGAAAGCCUGACGGAGCAACGCCGCGUGAGUGAUGAAGGUCUUCGGAUCGUAAAACUCUGUUAUUAGGGAAGAACAUAUGUGUAAGUAACUGUGCACAUCUUGACGGUACCUAAUCAGAAAGCCACGGCUAACUACGUG